AGCGAACGCUGGCGGCAGGCCUAACACAUGCAAGUCGAGCGCCCCGCAAGGGGAGCGGCAGACGGGAGAGUAACACGUGGGAACGUGCCCUUCAGUUCGGAACAACCAAGGGAAACUUUGGCUAAUACCGGAUACGUCCGAAAGGAGAAAGAUUUAUCGCUGAAGGAUCGGCCCGCGUCUGAUUAGCUAGUUGGUGGGGUAAUGGCCCACCAAGGCGACGAUCAGUAGCUGGUCUGAGAGGAUGAUCAGCCUCACUGGGACUGAGACACGGCCCAGACUCCUACGGGAGGCAGCAGUGGGGAAUAUUGGACAAUGGGCGCAAGCCUGAUCCAGCCAUGCCGCGUGGAUGAUGAAGGCCCUAGGGUUGUAAAGUCCUUUCGGCGGGGAAGAUAAUGACGGUACCCGCAGAAGAAGCCCCGGCUAACUUCGUGCCAGCAGCCGCGAGUAAGAC
This 451-nucleotide ribosomal RNA is filed under the name uncultured bacterium. RNAcentral's name for it is "bacterial SSU rRNA". It matches the Rfam family "Bacterial small subunit ribosomal RNA", at positions 29 to 526 of the family's 1533-position model. The record is from RNAcentral.